AUUGAACGCUGGCGGCAUGCCUUACACAUGCAAGUCGAACGGCAGCACGGGUGCUUGCACCUGGUGGCGAGUGGCGAACGGGUGAGUAAUACAUCGGAACGUACCUUAUCGUGGGGGAUAACGCAGCGAAAGCUGUGCUAAUACCGCAUACGCCCUGAGGGGGAAAGCGGGGGAUCGAAAGACCUCGCGCGAUUAGAGCGGCCGAUGCCUGAUUAGCUUGUUGGUGGGGUAAAAGCCCACCAAGGCGACGAUCAGUAGCUGGUCUGAGAGGACGAUGAGCCACACUGGGACUGAGACACGGCCCAGACUCCGACGGGAGGCAGCAGUGGGGAAUUUUGGACAAUGGGGGCAACCCUGAUCCAGCAAUGCCGCGUGAGUGAAGAAGGCCUUCGGGUUGUAAAGCUCUUUUGUCAGGGAAGAAACACCGGCUCUAACACAGUCCGGGAAUGACGGUACCUGAAGAAUAAGCACCGGCUAACUACGUGCCAGCCGCCGCGGUAA
This 501-nucleotide ribosomal RNA is filed under the name uncultured bacterium. RNAcentral describes it as "partial 16S ribosomal RNA". It matches the Rfam family "Bacterial small subunit ribosomal RNA", at positions 29 to 523 of the family's 1533-position model. The record is from RNAcentral.